RNAcentral lists this ribosomal RNA (490 nucleotides) under uncultured bacterium. RNAcentral describes it as "partial 16S ribosomal RNA". It matches the Rfam family "Bacterial small subunit ribosomal RNA", at positions 28 to 507 of the family's 1533-position model. The record is from RNAcentral.
GAUGAACGCUAGCUACAGGCUUAACACAUGCAAGUCGCGGGGCAGCAUGGGGGUUGCUUGCAAUCCCCGAUGGCGACCGGCGCACGGGUGAGUAACGCGUAUCCAACCUGCCCUUCACCACGGGAUAACCCGGCGAAAGUCGGACUAAUACCGUAUGUUGUCCAUUGACGGCAUCCGAUUUGGACGAAAGGCUUGGCGGUGAGGGAUGGGGAUGCGUCCGAUUAGCCAGACGGCGGGGUAACGGCCCACCGUGGCUACGAUCGGUAGGGGUUCUGAGAGGAAGGUCCCCCACACUGGAACUGAGACACGGUCCAGACUCCUACGGGAGGCAGCAGUGAGGAAUAUUGGUCAAUGGGCGUAAGCCUGAACCAGCCAAGUAGCGUGCAGGAUGACGGCGCUAUGGGUUGUAAACUGCUUUUAUGCGGGGAUAAAGUGGCCCACGUGUGGGCUUUUGCAGGUACCGCAUGAAUAAGGACCGGCUAAUUCCGUG